UAACUACAGAGGCUUACCACCUCUUAUUUACC
RNAcentral lists this transfer RNA (32 nucleotides) under Macaca nemestrina (pig-tailed macaque). RNAcentral's name for it is "partial tRNA-His". The record is from RNAcentral. Lineage: Eukaryota; Metazoa; Chordata; Mammalia; Primates; Cercopithecidae.